AUUGAACGCUAGCGGGAUGCCUUACACAUGCAAGUCGAACGGAGUGGCGAACGGGUGAGUAAUGUAUCGGAACGUGCCCAGUAGCGGGGGAUAACUACGCGAAAGCGUAGCUAAUACCGCAUACUCUUGGAGCGGCCGAUAUCGGAUUAGCUAGGUGGUGGGGUACCGGCUCACCACGGCCACGAUCCGUAGCUGGUUUUAGAGGACGAUCAGCCACACUGGGACUGAGACACGGCCCAGACUCCUACGGGAGGCAGCAGUGGGGAAUUUUGGACAAUGGGGGAAACCCUGAUCCAGCCAUCCCGCGUGUAGGAUGAAGGCCUUCGGGUUGUAAAGCACUUUUGGCAGGAAGGCGGUAACCGCAGAAGAAGCACCGGCUAACUACGUGCCAGAAGCCGCGGUAAUAC
Molecule: ribosomal RNA, 407 nt
Filed under: uncultured bacterium
Lineage: Bacteria
Description: partial 16S ribosomal RNA
Rfam family: Bacterial small subunit ribosomal RNA
Source: RNAcentral